AUGCUUGCUUUGGCAGCACAUAUACUAAAACUGGAAUGAUACAGAGAAGAUUAGCAUGGCCCCUGCACAUGGAUGACAUGCAAAUUCAUGAAGCAUUCCGUAGUUUU
This 107-nucleotide small nuclear RNA is filed under the name Papio anubis (olive baboon). RNAcentral also lists the same sequence under 1 other name. Lineage: Eukaryota; Metazoa; Chordata; Mammalia; Primates; Cercopithecidae. The record is from RNAcentral.